AGAAUCAACGCUGGCGGCGUGCCUAACACAUGCAAGUCGAACGAGAAAGUGGAGCAAUCCAUGAGUAAAGUGGCGCACGGGUGAGUAACACGUGACUAACCUACCUUUUAGUGGGGGAUAACCUAGGGAAACCUGGGCUAAUACCGCAUAAUACCUACGGGUCAAAGCAGCAAUGCGCUGGAAGAGGGGGUCGCGGCCGAUUAGCUAGUUGGCGGGGUAAUGGCCCACCAAGGCAGUGAUCGGUAUCCGGCCUGAGAGGGCGCACGGACACACUGGAACUGAAACACGGUCCAGACUCCUACGGGAGGCAGCAGUGGGGAAUUUUGCGCAAUGGGGGAAACCCUGACGCAGCAACGCCGCGUGGAGGAUGAAGACCCUUGGGUCGUAAACUCUUUCGAUCGGGACGAUAAUGACGGUACCGGAAGAAGAGCCCCGGCUAACUUCGCGCCAGCAGCCGC
Molecule: ribosomal RNA, 458 nt
Filed under: uncultured bacterium
Lineage: Bacteria
Description: SSU rRNA
Rfam family: Bacterial small subunit ribosomal RNA
Source: RNAcentral